GACGAACGCUGGCGGCGCGCUUAAUACAUGCAAGUCGAGCGAGAACCAGGGCUUCGGCCCUGGGGACAGCGGCGAACGGGUGAGUAACACGUGGAUAACCUACCCUUGGCACCGGAAUAGCCCGGGGAAACUCGGAUUAAUGCCGGAUAGCCCCACAUCCUCUCGAGGAACGUGGGAAAAGGUAGCUUCGGCCUCUGGCCGGGGAUGGGUCCGCGGUGGAUUAGCUUGUUGGUGCGGGUAAUGGCCCACCAAGGCGACGAUCCAUAGCUGGUCUGAGAGGACGAUCAGCCACACUGGGACUGAGACACGGCCCAGACUCCUACGGGAGGCAGCAGUAGGGAAUCUUGCGCAAUGGGCGAAAGCCUGACGCAGCGACGCCGCGUGCGGGAAGAAGGCC
RNAcentral lists this ribosomal RNA (397 nucleotides) under uncultured bacterium. RNAcentral's name for it is "bacterial SSU rRNA". It matches the Rfam family "Bacterial small subunit ribosomal RNA", at positions 28 to 416 of the family's 1533-position model. The record is from RNAcentral.